This 440-nucleotide ribosomal RNA is filed under the name uncultured bacterium. RNAcentral describes it as "partial 16S ribosomal RNA". It matches the Rfam family "Bacterial small subunit ribosomal RNA", at positions 338 to 795 of the family's 1533-position model. The record is from RNAcentral.
CCUACGGGAGGCAGCAGUAGGGAAUAUUGCUCAAUGGCGGAAACCCUGAAGCAGCAACGCCGCGUGGAGGAUGAAGGUUUUCGGAUUGUAAACUCCUUUUGUUAGAGAAGAUAAUGACGGUAUCUAACGAAUAAGCACCGGCUAACUCCGUGCCAACAGCCGCGGUAAUACGGAGGGUGCAAGCGUUACUCGGAAUUACUGGGCGUAAAGAGCGCGUAGGCGGGAUAGCAAGUCAGAUGUGAAAUCCUAGGGCUUAACCAUAGAACUGCAUUUGAAACUGUUAUUCUAGAGUAUGGGAGAGGUAGGUGGAAUGCUUGGUGUAGGGGUAAAAUCCGUAGAGAUCAAGAGGAAGACUCAUUGCGAAGGCGACCUGCUAGAACAUAACUGACGCUGAUGCGCGAAAGCGUGGGGAGCAAACAGGAUUAGAUACCCCAGUAGUC